Schistosoma haematobium is the source of this 44-nucleotide non-coding RNA. The record is from Rfam. NCBI's taxonomy places the organism in Eukaryota, Metazoa, Platyhelminthes, Trematoda, Strigeidida, Schistosomatidae.
GUCAGCUGACGAGUCCAUAACAGGACGAAACGCGCGUCCUGGAU